UACGUAGGGGGCUAGCGUUGUCCGGAAUCAUUGGGCGUAAAGCGCGCGUAGGCGGCCCGGUAAGUCCGUUGUGAAAGUCAAAGGCUCAACCUUUGAACGCCGAUGGAUACUGCCGGGCUAGAGUCCGGAAGAGGCGAGUGGAAUUCCUGGUGUAGCGGUGGAAUGCGCAGAUAUCAGGAGGAACACCAAUAGCGAAGGCAGCUCGCUGGGACGGUACUGACGCUGAGGCACGAAAGCGUGGGGAGCAAACAGG
Molecule: ribosomal RNA, 253 nt
Filed under: uncultured bacterium
Lineage: Bacteria
Description: partial 16S ribosomal RNA
Rfam family: Bacterial small subunit ribosomal RNA
Source: RNAcentral